Molecule: ribosomal RNA, 274 nt
Filed under: uncultured bacterium
Lineage: Bacteria
Description: partial 16S ribosomal RNA
Rfam family: Bacterial small subunit ribosomal RNA
Source: RNAcentral
AUACGGAGGGUGCAAGCGUUAAUCGGAAUUACUGGGCGUAAAGCGCGCGUAGGCGGUUUGAUAAGUCGGAUGUGAAAUCCCCGGGCUCAACCUGGGAAUUGCGUUCGAUACUGUCAGGCUAGAGUGUGGUAGAGGGAAGUGGAAUUUCCGGUGUAGCGGUGAAAUGCGUAGAUAUCGGAAGGAACACCAGUGGCGAAGGCGGCUUCCUGGACCAACACUGACGCUGAGGUGCGAAAGCGUGGGGAGCAAACAGGAUUAGAUACCCUAGUAGUCC